AACGAACGCUGGCGGCAGGCUUAACACAUGCAAGUCAAACGGCUGUAGCAAUACAGCAGUGGCGCACGGGUGAGUAACACGUGGGAAUCUCCCUUUCAGUAUGGGAUAACGUUGGGAAACGUGACGCUAAUACCGUAUACACCUCCGGGUGAAAGAUUUAUCGCUGAAAGAUGAGCCCGCGUCAGAUUAGCUAGUUGGUGGGGUAA
RNAcentral lists this ribosomal RNA (206 nucleotides) under uncultured bacterium. RNAcentral describes it as "partial 16S ribosomal RNA". It matches the Rfam family "Bacterial small subunit ribosomal RNA", at positions 29 to 260 of the family's 1533-position model. The record is from RNAcentral.